This is a long non-coding RNA of Panicum virgatum (switchgrass), 549 nucleotides long. RefSeq lists it as uncharacterized. The transcript has 2 exons. Lineage: Eukaryota; Viridiplantae; Streptophyta; Magnoliopsida; Poales; Poaceae. The record is from RefSeq and is a predicted model, not a curated record.
CAUUGGCGGAUGGCUCCUGGACUCCGGUUCCGGCUCCGUCAAGCAUCCUCGUCCAACCACCGCGCCCCCGCUACCGCCGGCGUCCCCAGUCGGCGGCGCCCCCAGCCGCCGUCGCCCCCGCUCCAGCCCGAUCCCCUCCCCUUCUCCUAGCCCCCACUGCCGCUGCCGCCGCGCCCCGUGUUCCUGAUGAUGCUCCAUGAAUUUCUACCAGGCUAGAUUCGUCGAAAUUUUCUCCGGAGAGGUAGAAAAGCGGCAAAUGGAGGACACUACUUCUACGAGACCUUGGGUUGCCUUCCCAGUUCCAGCACACCUUUCAAUUCAGCUUCUGAGUCAGUUUAAAAUCCAUCUGAACAUACUGGGUUCAGGCUGUUUUCAUUGUUUUCAGUAGUUUGGUUCAGACUGCAUGUCUGUGUACAUCUUUGUUGGUGAUGCUGCCCUGAUCAGAUCAUCAUUUUUGUAUCUGGUGCUUCCGAUGAUAGAACUGAAGUGCACCUGGAAGUGUAUAUUUACUGAUAUGAGUAACAAGAAUAUUUAUUGUUGUUGUUUCUA